UUUUUUAAUGUUUCAAAACACAUUUUUCUGAGUCACAAUUUCCUUUCUCUCUUCACAAUGACUUAACGCUCACGAACUCGGUCCCUUUUCUCUACGUCGUCUCCGCCGCUCAAACUCAAUCUGUCAGUCACGGUUUCAUUUUCCACCACACGUUAUCAUCACUGCCGCUCACGAUUCUUACUGCCUCCGAUCAUAAUUCGGAGGUAAUGCUCUUCUCUUAGGUUUCUUGAUGUUUUGUUUUUCACCUUCUCAUAGAUUUCUACAAUUUCCAGGGGCUUUUUUAGUGGAGGGUUUACAAACCCCAACAAAUUGAGGGAAAAAAAAUGACAAACUGUCUAGUUCUUUUAUCAAGUUUCAUGAGUUU
RNAcentral lists this long non-coding RNA (364 nucleotides) under Trifolium pratense (red clover). RNAcentral describes it as "long non-coding RNA (TPRA_LNC002786)". Lineage: Eukaryota; Viridiplantae; Streptophyta; Magnoliopsida; Fabales; Fabaceae. The record is from RNAcentral.